Molecule: ribosomal RNA, 468 nt
Filed under: uncultured bacterium
Lineage: Bacteria
Description: partial 16S ribosomal RNA
Rfam family: Bacterial small subunit ribosomal RNA
Source: RNAcentral
GACGAACGCUGGCGGCGUGCUUAACACAUGCAAGUCGAACGGAAAGGCCCUGCUUUUGUGGGGUGCUCGAGUGGCGAACGGGUGAGUAACACGUGAGUAACCUGCCCUUGACUUUGGGAUAACUUCAGGAAACUGGGGCUAAUACCGGAUAGGAGCUCCUGCUGCAUGGUGGGGGUUGGAAAGUUUCGGCGGUUGGGGAUGGACUCGCGGCUUAUCAGCUUGUUGGUGGGGUAGUGGCUUACCAAGGCUUUGACGGGUAGCCGGCCUGAGAGGGUGACCGGCCACAUUGGGACUGAGAUACGGCCCAGACUCCUACGGGAGGCAGCGGUGGGGAAUAUUGCACAAUGGGCGGAAGCCUGAUGCAGCAACGCCGCGUGCGGGAUGACGGCCUUCGGGUUGUAAACCGCUUUCGCCUGUGACGAAGCGUGAGUGACGGUAAUGGGUAAAGAAGCACCGACUAACUACGUG